Molecule: long non-coding RNA, 2248 nt
Filed under: Calidris pygmaea (Spoon-billed sandpiper)
Lineage: Eukaryota; Metazoa; Chordata; Aves; Charadriiformes; Scolopacidae
Description: lncRNA (ENSCPGG00000018479.1)
Source: RNAcentral
UUCCCCCCCCGCCAUGACCAACACAACGUAUGCCAGUACCUCGCCAUAAGAAAAGGAAUAAGAUCUUUAGCUGUUUCUGGACCUGCAGACCAGGUAUUUCUUUUCCAGCCAGAGGUGCCUCAGCGCAGGCCGGAGGGGAAGGGAUCACAUCCUCCUGGGACCGGGGGCGCCGAGCUACUUCACCAGCCCUCCGUGAGCUGUCCUCGCCGCCGGGGCGGGGGGCUCCCGCCGCUCGGGGGCCACCGCCUUCCAGCCCGGCCCAUCUCCUCCGCCCGCCCGUCAGCAGCCGUCCGGCGGACAGCUCCGCCGCGGCGGGGACCGGGGAGGCCGCCGCCCCGAUGCCCCUUCCCACCCCCCCACCCCCCGCGCCUCACAGCGGCCCUCAGCGCUACGGGGGCUUCGUCCCCGUCGCCCCCUUUACCGGCUGGUCCCAGCCCCAGGAGGGACACCCCCCCCGUUACCCCCUCCCCCCCCUCCCCGCCGACGCCACUGGGGACAGCCCAGCCGGGAAGGCGUUGCCAUGACAACCCCCUUCCCGCCCCGGGGGGCCUUGCACGCGCCCUCGCCACAGGGGGGCGACGAACCCCGGCUCAGUCCUCCCCCACCCCCCACCGUCCCCGUCCCCCUUCUCGGCCGGAUCCCGCCCGCCUCACGGCCCCCGUCGGGAGGAUACAGCUUGAAGCCCCGGAGGAUCUCCUUGGCCCGCUCGUCCGUGGCCGACAUGGUCCUGCCGCGCCGCGGGCGGACGGGGCUGGGCCGGGCUGGGCCUGGCUGCGCGGGCCUGGGCGGGAAGGCGGCGGUGACAGCGGCGCCUCAGGACCCCCCCCUCCCCUCCCCCCUCCCGCCCGCCCUGCCUCCCUCGCACCCGCCACUGGCCGGCGCAACCAACCCCAGCGGCCUCCCGCUGCACCGCCCCCUCCGACCAAUCAUCCGCCGCCGUCUCUUCAUCUCCCCGCCUUCUGGCGCAGGAAGGGCGGUGCGGCUGGCCAAUCAGACCGGCGUGCCCGCCCGCCCGCUCCCCUCCCUCAUUCAAGGGCGGCUGCGCAGCGGUCGCUAAGGCGGAUGCUUCGGCUGGGCUUGACGUCGCCGGGGGGACGGGAGUCGCCGCAGGACAAAUCUCUCCCGGCCGCUCCGCUGUUAUCUCUGGCAGGUGUGACAGUUUCUGAGCUGCUAUUGCAGGUGAGAAGACGCCUCCAACCUGCUUUCUGCUUCCCCAGAAGCUAUUGUCUCAGGGUGCAGAUACACUGAUCUGGAGAAAUAACAGCUUGUUUAACUGGGAGAUGGUUUCAUAAGCUAGGGCUUCAUCCCACCCCACACUUGAUGGAAGGGGUUGUAUAACUGCGUAUCUGCAAUGACUCAGACACACACCUCUGCUGGCCUGGCCAAAUGCAAGAUGAGUGUCCAGCUUAGUCUCUGGAUCCUGUGGAACAUGGAGAGCUCAAUAGCUUCUUCAGCAGAGUAUGGGAGCUCCCAUCACCCCAUGUUCUGGAAAUGUGUGCUGGCAGCUGCAGGGGUCAGAAGCUUGGAAGGAGAGAGGAUAAACGGAUGAUGCACAGUGAAAGCACACACAGACGAGGAACGAAACUGCACCCAGAACUGUGUUAACAUUUAUGCAGCUCAGCUUUUCCCUAGAGCUACCGGCCAUUCGGUCAUGUGCAGAUGCACCUGCUCCUGCUCUAACAUGGCUGUGGUGCCUACAGUUGAUUUCAUUUUGCUUUAAGUUGGUUGAGAAGUAAAGCUAUUACAGAUGCUUUAGGAACCAAAUCCUAGCCCUGGUAGCUAAAUCUAGCCUAGCUAUGAUUUCUGAAUGUAAUGUCUAUUAUUUGGGUUAUUGGUAAGGUCCUGUGUUGUCCUAAUGUAUCUCUUAUCACAAGAGGUUUUGAUUUAAACCACCUUAUUUAUGAAAGUUAAGGAAAAAGAUAAGAAACACUAAGAUACCUAUAUUCACUGUUGGCCCUCUCCUUGGUGAGGCUGGGUGGUAAUUUUCUUGCCAAUGACACAUGAGAAUUGGAACUUUAGGAGAGGAAGAACCUGCUCCAGAAUUGUGUCCCAGGGCACCGGGAGGUGCACACCUACAAGGGACAAAGCUGGUGCCGCUGAGCGCUGAAGAGCCUGAAGAACCAGACAACAAACUCAGUGUGAUGGAAGCUGCAGGACAGAGUGGUGUCACUACAUUAAUCACAUCCUUCCUGGUCUCUGUCCCUUAUAGGUGACUUUGCAGCCUCAUGUCUUGGCUUCUGACUGAGAG